GAUCCUGGCUCAGGACGAACGCUGGCGGCGCGCCUAACACAUGCAAGUCGAACGGAGUUUACAGACGGAAGUUUUCGGAUGGAAGCUUGUAAACUUAGUGGCGGACGGGUGAGUAACACGUGAGCAACCUGCCUAUCAGAGGGGGAUAACGGUUGGAAACGAUCGCUAAUACCGCAUGACAUAGCGGAAUCGCAUGGUUCUGUUAUCAAAGAUUUUAUCGCUGAUAGAUGGGCUCGCGUCCG
This 242-nucleotide ribosomal RNA is filed under the name uncultured bacterium. Its description in RNAcentral is "partial 16S ribosomal RNA". It matches the Rfam family "Bacterial small subunit ribosomal RNA", at positions 15 to 239 of the family's 1533-position model. The record is from RNAcentral.